This 444-nucleotide ribosomal RNA is filed under the name uncultured bacterium. RNAcentral's name for it is "partial 16S ribosomal RNA". It matches the Rfam family "Bacterial small subunit ribosomal RNA", at positions 338 to 795 of the family's 1533-position model. The record is from RNAcentral.
CCUACGGGAGGCUGCAGUGGGGAAUAUUGGGCAAUGGAGGCAACUCUUACCCAGCAAUGCCGCGUGAAUGAAGAAGGUCUUCGGAUUGUAAAGUUCUUUAAUUGGGGACGAAAAAAAUGACGGUACCCAAGGAAUAAGCCCCGGCUCACUACGUGCCAGCAGACGCGGUAAUACGUAGGGGGCAAGCGUUGUUCGGAAUGACGGGGCGUAAAGGGUGUGUAGGCGGGUUAGCAAGUUAGAAGUGAAAUACCUAUAGCUUAACUCAGGUGCUGCUUCUAAAACUGCUAUACUUGAGUGCAGGAGAGGAAAGUGGAAUUCCUAGUGUAGCGGUGGAAUGCGUAGAUAUUAGGAGGAACAUCAGUGGCGAAGGCGACUUUCUGGACUGUAACUGACGCUGAGGCACGAAAGUGUGGGGAGCAAACAGGAUUAGAUACCCUUGUAGUC